This 974-nucleotide ribosomal RNA is filed under the name Phanerochaetella leptoderma. RNAcentral's name for it is "eukaryotic LSU rRNA". It matches the Rfam family "Eukaryotic large subunit ribosomal RNA", at positions 81 to 1068 of the family's 3401-position model. Lineage: Eukaryota; Fungi; Basidiomycota; Agaricomycetes; Polyporales; Irpicaceae. The record is from RNAcentral.
UAGUACUGCGAGUGAGCGGGAAAAGCUCAAAUUUAAAAUCUGGCGGCUUUGGUCGUCCGAGUUGUAUUCUAGAGAAGCGUUUUCCGCGCUGGACCGUGUACAAGUCUCUUGGAACAGAGCGUCAUAGAGGGUGAGAAUCCCGUCUUUGACACGGACUACCAGUGCUUUGUGAUGCGCUCUCAAAGAGUCGAGUUGUUUGGGAAUGCAGCUCAAAAUGGGUGGUAAAUUCCAUCUAAAGCUAAAUAUUGGCGAGAGACCGAUAGCGAACAAGUACCGUGAGGGAAAGAUGAAAAGCACUUUGGAAAGAGAGUUAAACAGUACGUGAAAUUGCUGAAAGGGAAACGCUUGAAGUCAGUCGCGUUGGUUAGAACUCAACCAGGCUUGCUUGGUGCAUUUUCUAUUCAACGGGCCAGCAUCAGUUUUGACUGUAGGAAAAAGAUCAGAGAAAUGUGGCACCUUCGGGUGUGUUAUAGUCUUUGGUUGCAUACUAUGGUUGGGACUGAGGAUCUCAGCACGCAUCUGUUGUGCUUAGGAUGCUGGCGUAAUGGCUUUAAACGACCCGUCUUGAAACACGGACCAAGGAGUCUAACAAACCUGCGAGUGUUUGGGUGGUAAACCCGAGCGCGUAAUGAAAGUGAAAGUUGGGAUCCCUGUCGUGGGGAGCACCGACGCCCGGACCAGACCUUCUGUGACGGAUCUGCGGUAGAGCAUGUUUGUUGGGACCCGAAAGAUGGUGAACUAUGCCUGAAUAGGGUGAAGCCAGAGGAACUCUGGUGGAGGCUCGUAGCGAUUCUGACGUGCAAAUCGAUCGUCAAAUUUGGGUAUAGGGGCGAAAGACUAAUCGAACCAUCUAGUAGCUGGUUCCUGCCGAAGUUUCCCUCAGGAUAGCAGAAACUCAUAUCAGAUUUAUGUGGUAAAGCGAAUGAUUAGAGGCCUUGGGGUUGAAACAACCUUAACCUAUUCUCAAACUUUAA